CAGUCGAGUUCGUUGCUGCCCUCUUAGAUUCCGCAGCAGGGAGGCCAGGAUUGAGCAGACAUGUUCUGGGGUUGGGAAAGUGAAAAAGGACACACUGAGUUCAGAGGCAUGGCAACACGAGAAAUGUGAGGAGUGACAGUCUGUAGCAGUGGAGAGAAAUUAUUGUCAUCCCUAUGAGAUACAAAGCAAAACAAGUCUAAAUCUUUUACUCAUGGUGGCCUUGUAAAUAUCGAAAGAUGGCUAUUUAAUUCUGCUUUUGUGUAACCAAGAUUAAAAACCUAAAGGAACCCUGAGAAUGCCAAUAUUGCACUCUUUCCCCCAACAGGGCUUUUCUAAAGCUUAUAACUUCCAACUGGGGAAAAGAUAAAGGCAAUAACUACAAACUGUAUCUCACAAUAAAUUCUACCAGAUGCCCUCUAGCUGAUAUUUGUGUCAUUUCGUGCCUUUGAUAUUGGCCCCAAAUUAAAACUACAAAGACAUUGAAAUCUUUUUAAUAUUAAGAAUUCUUAUGUUUCCUACUAAAGAGUAAAAAUGGGGAAACAAAAAUAAAUUUAAGCCUACCUUUCCCUAACCCCUAGUAUUUAACAAGUCUUUUCCAUUGUACAAACAAGCAAAUAAUCUAUCCUAAUUCUGAAAUUUUCAGUUGCCUGUGAAACCUAUAAAUCCCACUGGAAUAAAGAGAUUAGUGCCAAAAUCUUAAAAAUAAUAAUAAUAAAAAUUAAAAGCCCCUAAGCAGGAACUUCCU
Long non-coding RNA from Monodelphis domestica (gray short-tailed opossum), 745 nucleotides. RefSeq lists it as uncharacterized. Lineage: Eukaryota; Metazoa; Chordata; Mammalia; Didelphimorphia; Didelphidae. The record is from RefSeq and is a predicted model, not a curated record.